This 349-nucleotide ribosomal RNA is filed under the name uncultured bacterium. RNAcentral describes it as "bacterial SSU rRNA". It matches the Rfam family "Bacterial small subunit ribosomal RNA", at positions 917 to 1269 of the family's 1533-position model. The record is from RNAcentral.
GGGCCCGCACAAGCGGUGGAGCAUGUGGUUUAAUUCGAUGAUACGCGAGGAACCUUACCAGGGUUUAAAUGCAGAACCGACAGGGGUGGAAACACCCCCUUCUUCGGACGGACUGCAAGGUGCUGCAUGGUUGUCGUCAGCUCGUGCUGUGAAGUGUCGGGUUAAGUCCCAUAACGAGCGCAACCCCCAUUCUAGUUGCCAGCGGUUCGGCCGGGGACUCUAGAGAAACUGCCAGCGUAAGCUGUGAGGAAGGUGGGGAUGACGUCAAAUCAUCACGGCCCUUACAUCCUGGGCCACACACGUGCUACAUUGGGUAGAACAAUAAGUUGCUAAGUUGCGAAACCAAGCG